GGGGGCUAGCGUUGCUCGGAAUUACUGGGCGUAAAGCGCACGUAGGCGGUCUUUUAAGUCGGGGGUGAAAUCCUGGAGCUCAACUCCAGAACUGCCUUCGAUACUGGAAGACUCGAGUCCGGGAGAGGUGAGUGGAACUGCGAGUGUAGAGGUGAAAUUCGUAGAUAUUCGCAAGAACACCAGUGGCGAAGGCGGCUCACUGGCCCGGUACUGACGCUGAGGUGCGAAAGCGUGGGGAGCAAACAGG
This 247-nucleotide ribosomal RNA is filed under the name uncultured bacterium. RNAcentral describes it as "partial 16S ribosomal RNA". It matches the Rfam family "Bacterial small subunit ribosomal RNA", at positions 530 to 776 of the family's 1533-position model. The record is from RNAcentral.